UACGGAGGGCGCGAGCGUUAUCCGGAUUCAUUGGGUUUAAAGGGUGCGCAGGCGGCCUGCCAAGUCAGCGGUGAAAGCCCGGGGCCCAACCCCGGAAGUGCCGUUGAUACUGGCGGGCUGGAAUGCGGUCGAGGCGGGCGGAACGUGGCGUGUAGCGGUGAAAUGCGUAGAUAUGCCACAGAACGCCGAAGGCGGAGGCAGCUCGCCGGGCCUGCAUUGACGCUCGGGCACGAAAGCGUGGGGAU
RNAcentral lists this ribosomal RNA (245 nucleotides) under uncultured Acetobacteroides sp. RNAcentral describes it as "partial 16S ribosomal RNA". It matches the Rfam family "Bacterial small subunit ribosomal RNA", at positions 524 to 768 of the family's 1533-position model. Lineage: Bacteria; Pseudomonadati; Bacteroidota; Bacteroidia; Bacteroidales; Rikenellaceae. The record is from RNAcentral.